This 479-nucleotide long non-coding RNA is filed under the name Nicotiana benthamiana. RNAcentral describes it as "long non-coding RNA (NBEN_LNC038820)". Lineage: Eukaryota; Viridiplantae; Streptophyta; Magnoliopsida; Solanales; Solanaceae. The record is from RNAcentral.
CCCCCCCCCCUCUAGCGUAAAGCGUAUUGUCCAACAGAUGCGUUCAUUGCUAGAAGGAGGCCAGUGGCAACUCCUGAGCCCUAUCCUAAGCGACCUAGUACGAGGUUGCAGAAAAGGAAGCUCUUGAUUCUACCCUAUGGAAGAGUAAAAGGAGUAGUAAGAAGAAGAAAAAGAGGCGGGUAAAAAAUGGAGAGGUUGUGUGUGAUAAGAGAAUUCAAAACGGAAGUAAAUGAGGAAGCUGCAGAGGAACCAAGUUCCUUAGUCAAGAGGUCUCAAGAAAAAAAAGUGAUUUGCUGAAACUGCUUUAGAGGAAGGUGUUGCUACGCCAAGUUCAAAGUCAGUGAAAAUUGGUGACAAGUUGAAGCAAGUAGUGGCUGAAGAGUCGCUGUCUGAUAAGACUAUCUUAGUGAAAUCAAGUGGCAAAGGUAAGUCUAGAGUGAAGUCUGGUAAAAGAAAGUUGAAGACUGUGAGGGAACCCG